CCUGCUCCCUGUGGCUGCCGAGUUCUCGGGAACAGCGGCUCGGCCUGCAAGGCUGUUGUUUCAAGAAAUGAAAAUGAAGGGCGCCCUGGAAUAGGUUCGCCGAAGAGAGAGCUUGCAGGCCUCUGGGAAGCAAGCCAUCGUGUGGCAGAGGCCCAGGUGGCAAGGAACCAAGGGCGGCUUCUGGCCAACAGCCAGCGAGGACCUGAGACCGUAGCCCAACACCCCUCCAGGAACUGAAUUUUGCCAGCAACCAGUGAGUGACCUUGGAAGUGGAUCCUUCCCCCGAAAGCCCGGCUUUCAGACGGAGGCUGGUGGGACCUCAACCCCAGCUGGUAUCCAGGCUCUUGACACCAUCUGGAGAAGGAAUUCAAGAGUGUGUCAGAAAAUGAUGAAAGUACAAAGAUUUAUUGCAAAGCGAAAAAUACACACUCAAGAAAGGGGAGUAUGGGUGGACUCAAGACAGAGUCCGAUGGGACUUGGGGUUUCUACCUUUUGGGUUUCUUUUUUUUUUUUUUUUGAUAUGGAGUCUCGCACUGUUGCCCAGGCUGGAGCGCAGUGGCGUGAUUUUGGCUCACUGCAACCUCUGCCUCCCGGGUUAAAACGAUUCUCCUGCCUCAGCGUCCCAAGUAGCUGGGAUUACAGGCUCCCACCACCAUGCCCGGCUAAUUUUUGUAUUUUUAGUAGAGACGAGGCCUCACCAUAUUGGCCAGGCUGUUCUCGAACUCCGGACCUUAGGUGAUCUGCCUGCCUCAGCCUCCCAAAGUGCUGGGAUUACAGGCGUGAGCCACCAUGCCCAAUGGGUGUGGGAUUUAGUAUAUUAAUGAGUGUAUAAUGAGGUCCUUGGUGAAACCUACAUCAAAUCCAGCACCGUGUUGGGUCCAGUCUGUCUUAGCCAGCUUGGUCCACACCCUGGUUUUUUAGGGUCUUAUUGGCCCCUUACUUCUGCAGCAAAAGUUUCCUUUUGCUAGUCAUGUGAAACUGCCACCUGGAAUUUUCUAUUCUCUAGUGACCACCCUGUAUUAUUCCUGUCUCACUGGGACCCUAAGAAAUUGGGAAUUCCAACUACACAUCCAAAAUAGUUUGACUAAAACUGUUGAAAAAAGAAAAAAAUAAUGGCAUAAAGUAUUGCUUGACUAAAUUCCAGCCAGGUGCAUUGGCCACUUUAGGUCGGGUGUGGUGGCUCAUGCUUGUAAUCCCAGCAUUUUGGGAGGCUGAGGCGGGAGGAUCACUUGAGGUCAGGAGUUCCAAACCAGUCUGGCCAAAAUGGUAAAACCCCCUCUCUACUAAAAAUACAAAAAUUAGCCGGACCUGGUGGCGGAAGCCUGUAAUCCCAGCUACUCUGGAGGCUGAGGCACGAAAAUUGCUUGAACCCAGGAGGUGGAGGUUGCAUUGAACCAAGAUCAUACCACUGCACUCUAGCCUGUGUGACAGAGAAAGAUUCCGUCUCAAGAAACAAAAA
This 1459-nucleotide long non-coding RNA is filed under the name Homo sapiens (human). RNAcentral's name for it is "HSALNT0370806". The record is from RNAcentral. Lineage: Eukaryota; Metazoa; Chordata; Mammalia; Primates; Hominidae.